GACGAACGCUGGCGGCGUGCUUAACACAUGCAAGUCGUACGGUAAGGCCCUUUCGGGGGUACACGAGUGGCGCACGGGUGAGUAACACGUGAGUAACCUGCCCACAACUUUGGGAUAACGCUAGGAAACUGGUGCUAAUACUGGAUAUGUGCUCCUGCUGCAUGGUGGGGGUUGGAAAGCUCCGGCGGUUGUGGAUGGACUCGCGGCCUAUCAGCUUGUUGGUGGGGUAGUGGCCUACCAAGGCGGCGACGGGUAGCCGGCCUGAGAGGGUGACCGGCCACAGUGGGACUGAGAUACGGCCCAGACUCCUACGGGAGGCAGCAGUGGGGAAUAUUGCACAAUGGGCGCAAGCCUGAUGCAGCAACGCCGCGUGCGGGAUGACGGCCUUCGGGUUGGAAACCGCUUUCAGCAGGGACGAAGCUUUUUGUGACGGUACCUGCAGAAGAAGCACCGGCUAACUACGUG
This 465-nucleotide ribosomal RNA is filed under the name uncultured bacterium. RNAcentral describes it as "partial 16S ribosomal RNA". It matches the Rfam family "Bacterial small subunit ribosomal RNA", at positions 28 to 507 of the family's 1533-position model. The record is from RNAcentral.